AUAUUACAAUUUUACACUACAAAGAAAGAAUCAUUCCUUUAAACGAUCCAGCUCCUUUUCCCACUUCAAUCCAAACAUCUGCCGGCCGAAAGGUACAAUGAGGUUGUAACGGAAAAUCUUAUCAUUUAUAUCACCCAUCUGCAUUUUUAAAGUCACAGUUUUCUCAAUCCAUUUGGAGUGAUCCCCACUGCAUUUAUUCGUCCAUGCUUUCUUCAAGGCAACCCGCCAUUCAGACACUUUACUCCUUAUCUCUUUGUUGAGUUCAACCCACUCUGGUGCACAUCCAUUUUUUGAGAGGAUUCUGUAUAAAGUGUCUUCAGCUGGAUCAGAAUGAGGAUUAGUGCUAAGGUUAAGGGGUUUGCCUUUCCCUGGUAAGUUCUCGAAUUGACCUUCUUCCAUUGAAUGCCAAAUUCUUUGCUCAACAACAUUUAUAAUAUCAGUUUCUGACCUGACAGCGUUGCGUUGGCCACGGAGUUCGGGAGGAAGCUUGCGGUCGUUGACGGCGUCUAUAACAGCGGACAGACGAUCCGUUAUCUUCUUGUCAGGCUUUGACGAGGAGGAGUAAGAAGAAGAAUUCCACCUGAGACUGGAAACGCCAUGGAUGAAGUAGAUAGCGGAAUUAUCAGCCGUUGAUUUUUUAAUGAGUGUGAUUAGCGAUGAUGAGGACGAAAGCGAUAUUCCAGGGAUGCGAGCGGCCAUAGCUGGCCCGAGAAUGCUGAGUGCUCUGCAGGGUUC
Molecule: unclassified non-coding RNA, 735 nt
Filed under: Hevea brasiliensis (rubber tree)
Lineage: Eukaryota; Viridiplantae; Streptophyta; Magnoliopsida; Malpighiales; Euphorbiaceae
Source: RNAcentral